RNAcentral lists this ribosomal RNA (329 nucleotides) under uncultured eukaryote. RNAcentral describes it as "partial 18S ribosomal RNA". It matches the Rfam family "Eukaryotic small subunit ribosomal RNA", at positions 1470 to 1796 of the family's 1831-position model. The record is from RNAcentral.
CCCUUAGAUGUUCUGGGCCGCACGCGCGCUACACUGUUUGAUUCAGCGAGUCUUAACCUUGACCGAAAGGUUUGGGUAAUCUUCUAAAGUCAAACGUGAUGGGGAUCGAUCAUUGCAAUUAUUGAUCGUGAACGAGGAAUUCCUAGUAAAUGCAAGUCAUCAGCUUGCGUUGAUUACGUCCCUGCCCUUUGUACACACCGCCCGUCGCUACUACCGAUGGAAUGGUUUAGUGAGAUCUCCGGAUUGGCUCUGUAGGUCCCGCAAGGGAUUUAUUAGUAGCCAAGAAGCUGCUCAAACUUGAUCAUUUAGAGGAAGUAAAAGUCGUAACA